CUUCAGGGAGCCCAGCCACAGCGGCAGAUCCGCCCCGCGGUCCUGCCCGUACGCGGCCAUCAGCGCCUGCGCCUC
This 75-nucleotide antisense RNA is filed under the name Streptomyces sp. 3211.6. RNAcentral's name for it is "ASpks TB sRNA". It matches the Rfam family "ASpks TB sRNA". Lineage: Bacteria; Bacillati; Actinomycetota; Actinomycetes; Kitasatosporales; Streptomycetaceae. RNAcentral also lists the same sequence under 1 other name. The record is from RNAcentral.